CUUGCGCCAGCGAUUGAAGCGAAAAUCCUUUCGCUUGGCGAAAGAUUGCAGCGGAAAGCGCGGUCGAUU
RNAcentral lists this small RNA (69 nucleotides) under Leptospira meyeri. RNAcentral's name for it is "Flavo-1 RNA". It matches the Rfam family "Flavo-1 RNA". The record is from RNAcentral. Lineage: Bacteria; Pseudomonadati; Spirochaetota; Leptospiria; Leptospirales; Leptospiraceae.